CGUCCCCAGGGAUGAAGAGCCACUAUCGGAUCGAUCCUCUGUGGCAGCCGCUUAACAAUCGAUUUUCCCUAGAGAAAGUUAAGGGCGAGCGAGGAAGAGGGACGACGAAAUGACACAAUGCGAUGUUUGUGACUUGACUAUCCGGGAGCCUCGUAUGCGGCCCUGAUACGUUGGCGUCCUUACGACGUAACAUGAUGAACAGAUGACGCUAAAUCAAUACACGUCGUCGGCCGGCGACCAACCGCUACACGUCGUUUAACGAGACCCUGAACUCUGAAGCUUCUCCCACGUGAUCGCCGACGAACAGUCUCAAUCCUACAGUCACAACCGUUAACAAUUCACAUUUCACUUUUCAAUACCUAAAAAUCUAAUCUCAAUCUCAUUAAGUCUGACACUUGUUAAACACCAUUGCGGUCACACUAAGUUAACUAUCAUGCUAUUUGCAUUGUCCAAGCGAUGGCUGUUAAGAUUGAAGAGGAUCGGUGUCCACCUCCAGAAAAAAUGUCGGAUGCGCUGUUACAAGAGGAUCGUGUCAGCAUGCCUCGCGAGCUUCCAGGAACAGGCUAACAUCCACAACCGAAAGACUCGGGAAUCCUGGAAUACGUCGAAUUCCAAUCACGUUAUGAGAGGCAGCGACGAUCGCGGGGGUGGACGGAGGCGAUCGGACGCCGCCAGUCCAAGUUCAAUUUUAAACGAGUCAAUAACAUCAAAAGCUUCGGAUACCCGGCUCGCAUCAUCGCGCGGAGCUACUCUAAGGCUAGACGGAGCCGACGCCACGCCACUAGAGCCCCAUCUAUCGCGGAUCGAAUUAUCUAAUGGAAGAACCUUGACUCUGCCUCGGAACACAAUGUGAACAAAAUGCGAUUAGGAUCAUUCUAACCUACCGGAACUUCUUUGAUUUCUUAAGAUAGUUUACCAGCAAUCUCAGUUGAAUCGAGGAAUUGGUAAAUGAUUUUAAUUGAAUUAGAGAUUCUAAUCUCUUCAAGUUUAGCUGCUUGUGAACUGACAGUUCAACUUCUCCAAUAACAAUGAUGAAACUACAGGAACUGUCCAGAAUUCAAUGCAGGAAAGUUAUUAACUUAGCACUCCACAUUUUGUGAUAUCUCAGCAACUCCACCAAUUUUGAUAGUAGUCAAAGAUUAGACCUUUAAUUUCCUUCUCAGUAGGAACUUUGUAUCUGCAAGAUCUAAUAAUCCUAAGAUAAUUUUCUUAAAAUUCAUUGAAAUAUUCAAUAUUACAACUGGUGUAAUAUUGAAGCCUACAGAGUUCAAAAGCUAAAACCGAGAAACCACUUGAAAAUCUGAAGUGAC
Molecule: long non-coding RNA, 1310 nt
Organism: Nomia melanderi (Alkali bee)
Lineage: Eukaryota; Metazoa; Arthropoda; Insecta; Hymenoptera; Halictidae
Source: RefSeq, a predicted model, not a curated record